Molecule: ribosomal RNA, 468 nt
Filed under: uncultured bacterium
Lineage: Bacteria
Description: partial 16S ribosomal RNA
Rfam family: Bacterial small subunit ribosomal RNA
Source: RNAcentral
GACGAACGCUGGCGGCGUGCUUAACACAUGCAAGUCGAACGGAAAGGCCCUGCUUUUGUGGGGUGCUCGAGGGGCGAACGGGUGAGUAACACGGGAGUAACCUGCGCGUGACUUUGGGAUAACGUCAGGAAACGGGGGCUAAUACCGGAUAGGAGCUCCUGCUGCAUGGGGGGGGUUGGAAAGUUUCGGCGGUUGGGGAUGGACUCGCGGCUUAGCAGCUUGUUGGUGGGGUAGUGGCUUACCAAGGCUUUGACGGGUAGCCGGCCUGAGAGGGUGACCGGCCACAUUGGGACUGAGAUACGGCCCAGACUCCUCCUGGACGCAACAGUGGGGAAUAUUGCACCAUGGGCGGAAGCCUGAUGCAGCAACGCCGCGUGCGGGAUGACGGCCUUCGGGUUGUAAACCGCUUUCGCCUGUGACGAAGCGUGAGUGACGGUAAUGGGUCAAGAAGCACCGGCUAACUACGUG